Molecule: ribosomal RNA, 497 nt
Filed under: uncultured bacterium
Lineage: Bacteria
Description: partial 16S ribosomal RNA
Rfam family: Bacterial small subunit ribosomal RNA
Source: RNAcentral
GAUGAACGCUGGCGGCGUGCCUAAUACAUGCAAGUAGAACGCUGACGGAAGGAGCUUGCUCUUUCCGGAUGAGUUGCGAACGGGUGAGUAACGCGUAGGUAACCUGCCUGGUAGCGGGGGAUAACUAUUGGAAAAGAUAGCUAAAACCCCAUAACAGUAGCUGUAGCAUGAUAUCUACUUAAAAGGUGCAAUUCCACCACUACCAGAUGGACCUGCGUUGUAUUAGCUAGGUGGUGAGGUAACGGCUCACCAAGGCGACGAUACAUAGCCGACCUGAGAGGGUGAUCGGCCACACUGGGACUGAGACACGGCCCAGACUCCUACGGGAGGCAGCAGUAGGGAAUCUUCGGCAAUAGACGGAAGGCUGACCGAGCAACGCCGCGUGGGUGAAGAAGGUUUUCGGAUCGGAAAGCUCUGUUGUAAGAGAAGAACGAGUGUGAGGGUGGAAAGUUCACACUGUGACGGUAUCUUAACAGAAAGGGACGGCUAACUACGUG